Molecule: ribosomal RNA, 440 nt
Filed under: uncultured bacterium
Lineage: Bacteria
Description: partial 16S ribosomal RNA
Rfam family: Bacterial small subunit ribosomal RNA
Source: RNAcentral
CCUACGGGUGGCAGCAGUGGGGAAUAUUGCACAAUGGGGGAAACCCUGAUGCAGCGACGCCGCGUGAGUGCAGACGUAUUUCGGUAUGUAAAGCUCUGUCAGCAGAGAAGAAAAUGACGGUACCUGACCAAGAAGCUCCGGCGAACUACGUGCCAGCUGCCGCGGUAAUACGUAGGGGGCAAGCGUUAUCCGGAUUUACUGGGUGUAAAGGGAGAGUAGACGGCAGGGCAAGUCUGGAGUGAAAGGCGGGGGCUCAACCCCCCGACUGCUCUGGACACUGCCAGGCUGGAGUGCAGGAGAGGUAGGUGGAAUUCCUGGUGUAGCGGUGAAAUGCGUAGAUAUUAGGAAGAACACCAGUGGCGAAGGCGGCUUACUGGACUGUCACUGACGUUGAGGCUCGAAAGCGUGGGGAGCAAACAGGAUUAGAUACCCCUGUAGUC